GGGACUGUGGCUUAGUGGUAGAGUACUUGCCUAGCAUGCAUGAAGCCCUGGGUUUGAUUCCUCAGCACCA
Molecule: transfer RNA, 70 nt
Filed under: Dipodomys ordii (Ord's kangaroo rat)
Lineage: Eukaryota; Metazoa; Chordata; Mammalia; Rodentia; Heteromyidae
Rfam family: tRNA
About the family: Transfer RNA (tRNA) molecules are approximately 80 nucleotides in length. Their secondary structure includes four short double-helical elements and three loops (D, anti-codon, and T loops).
Source: Rfam by way of RNAcentral